RNAcentral lists this ribosomal RNA (366 nucleotides) under uncultured Prevotella sp. Its description in RNAcentral is "bacterial SSU rRNA". It matches the Rfam family "Bacterial small subunit ribosomal RNA", at positions 527 to 896 of the family's 1533-position model. The record is from RNAcentral. Lineage: Bacteria; Pseudomonadati; Bacteroidota; Bacteroidia; Bacteroidales; Prevotellaceae.
GGAAGGUCCUGGCGUUAUCCGGAUUUAUUGGGUUUAAAGGGAGCGCAGGCCGCCCCUUAAGCGUGUUGUGAAAACCGGGCGCCCAACGCCCGGCGUGCAGCGCGAACUGGGGGGCUUGAGUGCGCGCGACGCCGGCGGAAUUCGUCGUGUAGCGGUGAAAUGCUUAGAUAUGACGAGGAACCCCGAUUGCGAAGGCAGCCGGCGAGGGCGCAACUGACGCUGAUGCUCGAAGGCGCGGGUAUCGAACAGGAUUAGAUACCCUGGUAGUCCGCGCUGUAAACGAUGGAUGCCCGCCGCCGGCACCUGGUGUCGGCGGCCAAGCGAAAGCGUUAAGCAUCCCACCUGGGGAGUACGCCSGSMACGGUG